Culex quinquefasciatus (southern house mosquito) is the source of this 418-nucleotide long non-coding RNA. RefSeq lists it as uncharacterized. The record is from RefSeq and is a predicted model, not a curated record. Lineage: Eukaryota; Metazoa; Arthropoda; Insecta; Diptera; Culicidae. The transcript is spliced from 3 exons.
UGUCAUUGUUGCCGGUAAUGUUUUUUAUUGCAUCAAAAGUGCAGAAAAUCGCUGGCAACAGUGUCUGCGGCACACUCAGAAAUGCCGCGCGGCAUGUACCUUUGAGAGAAACGGACAAUACCAGAUUUUUUUCCGACCGGAUGGCGAAAGGACGGAUCGUGCAGACAAUUUUAAACCAUCGUGACUCCAAAUCGCCGCGUAAUCCGUUCAGGUAACAAUUUCACAAAGCUGCUGCCGCCGCUAUGAGUUUCUGAUCGGACGAAUCGAUUUUCUUGUUUACCGCGACCUCACAGACUCAGGUAACAUUAACGACCGUUGGUUCCGACGGCGGCCCUCCUCAGCAUUCUCAAGAAGGAUCCGGAGAAUAGCACCGAUGAGGACAGUUCCGUGCAGCAAGCAAAAAAGCAAAAAAGGAAAU